AUGCUGAAAAGCCAACUUCAUCUUUUGCAGUUAUGCCCUAUGGUAUCUGGAAGCUAUCUGGAAACAUUGUUUUGCUUUGGUAGUGUAACUGAAAGAGUCCUGGAAUUGGAAAACAAAAUCCAGAAGUUGAGUUCCAUGGCUUUUUUGCUGUUUGUCUUUGGACUUGCGUCAUUUAUAUUUUUAAUUCAACGAGGAUGAGAAAGUUGAUUAACAUAAAAUCUUUUCAUGUCUGUUUCUGAUGAGAGACUAGCUGAAUCCAAGAAGAGAAGCCCUUGAAUAGUGUAUUGAAUACUAGACAAACAUUCACACAUUGGCUUCUUUGGUGCCAGGUAAUUAGAAUUUGUAAUUUGGUCUUAAUUAAAUUGCAGACUACCCAAAGGCCUUGAUCAGUGGCCUUUUGACUGCCUCCACCCUGUUUGGAGGAAACCAACAAAACACAAAUUAGCCUUUAAAAAUAUGCCCAUUGAUUUCUCCUCAUCUCCCCAAACAUAUCCUAC
Molecule: long non-coding RNA, 497 nt
Filed under: Papio anubis (olive baboon)
Lineage: Eukaryota; Metazoa; Chordata; Mammalia; Primates; Cercopithecidae
Description: lncRNA (ENSPANG00000049988.1)
Source: RNAcentral